Molecule: long non-coding RNA, 1003 nt
Organism: Pezoporus occidentalis (night parrot)
Lineage: Eukaryota; Metazoa; Chordata; Aves; Psittaciformes; Psittacidae
Exons: 2
Source: RefSeq, a predicted model, not a curated record
GGAAGGGGAAAAGAAAGGGAAGAGGAAAAGGAGAGGUGAGGCGGUAUUGGCGGGGCCGUGCCAGCCUUCCUCGGCGCGACCCGGGCUGGAAGAGCAUUAUACACAUGGGAGUCGGCCGUCGCGGUGUGUUUGGGCGGAGCAGAGCCCGCCCGAGCAUGCUUUCCGUUGUGCAGUAAGGAUGUUGUACAGAGCUGUUUAGUUCAGCUUAAAUGAUACUUCUUGGGGUCUGAGUGCCUACCGUGCUGGGAUCACCACAGGCCAGCAACUGCUCCUACUGUAACUACUACCACUCCCUGCUGUAAUAGGUGAGGAAGAGAGCACCCAUCAACGUGAAGGAUGUGAGAGCUAGAUGUGUGAGGGAAAGGUCAGUGGUCACUGACCUUUUGGCAAAAUAAGCCAACACACAUAAAUUAUAAUAAUCUGUUUUAAGAACAGAAAGCCUAGAACAUCCUCUAGGUCAGCAAUAUCCUGAUGCUUGAGGGUUUAAUUCUAGAGGUUUGUUGUUUUGAUUUUUGUUAUUUUUUUAAUUUAAAGAGGAGAAAAGGAGUAGUACUUCCCCUUCCUGCCCACAUCUGUUUACACACAGACAAAUGCACUUCCCAUGACAAAGGCAGCCCUGUAUUCCAGACAGGGACUGGGUUGGACUGGGAACCAAUCUGUAUUUCCUGCAGGCCAACCAGCCCUUUCACCUAAGGUCAGCAAACAUCUGUAACCUCAGUGUGGGAAUCUGGGUAGUGUUACUGUCAAAUGACUAAUGCAAACUGUGAUCUCCUCCUAGGGGAAUGAAUUAUUUGUCCAAGACACUUAAGCACAGUGCCAUUUCUGAGACAUCAGUGAACUUCAUAGCUGUUGAGAACGUCUUGUAUAAAAAGCACGACACUUGACAGAAGUCAGAGACUUAAGAGAAAUCCUUCAUAAAUUUUCUGCUACUACUGGUUAAUGGUUUGGGGGUUUUGUCACUUUCUGUCUAGGACUUAAAUAAACAUUUCCUGUUUGCUUUGUA